This 691-nucleotide long non-coding RNA is filed under the name Brassica napus (rape). RNAcentral describes it as "long non-coding RNA (BNAP_LNC015641)". Lineage: Eukaryota; Viridiplantae; Streptophyta; Magnoliopsida; Brassicales; Brassicaceae. The record is from RNAcentral.
UAGAAGGCCUAAAAUCACAGAAUAUUUAAUACAAAAUCAUUUUUACAGGUUUAAAAGAAAGUAUUUACAACCGAUCAAUUUAAUCUCUACCAAAAUUUUCUUGGUAUCUAGAUAUUCUAAGCGUAUACCAGAAUAAUAUUUAUCAUAUUAACUGAAAUUAGGUCUGGCAAACGGGUUCCAUUCAGGUUCAUUCGGAUUUCGGAUUUUUGGGUUUAUGAAUUUUAGCCCCAUUCGGAUAAUAUAAAAGUUUGGGUCGGAUUUGGUUCAGGUUUAGUCAGGUUCGAUUUGGGUUUAGUUACAUGUCGAAGAUCCGGUUGAACCCAAAAUAGUUUUGGUUUCGGAUAUUAAUCGGGUUACCAGCUCCAAAAAUAUUGAUUUGCACUUGAUGAAACUCAAUAUAUUUCCAAUAUUUUCAAUAAAUUUGUGUGUAAGGCUUCCUCAAACCAUAUUGUUGUCCUCAAACCAUAUUAUAUAUUGUCCUUGGACUAUAUGUGACAAUUGACAUAUCAUGACAAGUAAACCUUGUACGAUGAGAAUCAUACAAUACAUAAUGAAACCUAAACAAAUUAGAAUUAACAAUUAACAACUAACAGCUCUAUAACCAUAAAAACACUUUAAAGAACAACAUUGUUUAAACUUCAGAAGCAAACUUAUUUAUAACUGAACUGUAAAUGCGAUUGUCAAAAUAUAG